This is a long non-coding RNA of Gopherus flavomarginatus (Mexican gopher tortoise), 1132 nucleotides long. RefSeq lists it as uncharacterized. The transcript has 2 exons. The record is from RefSeq and is a predicted model, not a curated record. NCBI's taxonomy places the organism in Eukaryota, Metazoa, Chordata, Testudines, Testudinidae.
CUACAGUCUUAGCUAGCAGCCAGGUGGCUUUUAGUUCAUGCUGUAGAGGCCCAUGCACUAAGCUCCUGAGUUCCCACUUCGACCUCACCCACUGACAAGUUACCAACCCAGAUCUGUCAGCGUAACUGAGACAGCUGCUGCCCCAAGAAGGAGAAAGCUGCCAUGACAUGCCCAGCUGAGAAGAAGUGCCAAGCAGUGAGCUGACACUCGUCAGAGCUUCCUGUGAUAAACUGCAAACUUUGGACAAUAGCAGGGUGGUAGGAAGCGACAUCCCCACGAGCAAAGGCCAUCACCAGGCAUCUGUCUUCGAAAGUUUGCAGAGGAUGUGGAGCAGAAAGGGCAGAGAGGAUGAGGAUGGCUCUUGGGAAGAGGGAGGGAGCCUUAUGAGAAUGUCUUGUUUACCUCCAUCAACCCAAUGAUCAGAUCAUUGAUGCCUAGAAUCUUCCCUGACGUGUUGUAAUUGAUUGGAUCUAGAUUUUAAAAUGGGUACCACAUUUGCAGAUGGAGAAAUGUCAGCGAGUUGAGUGGAAGGCCAUUGCAAGCUCAGCUAAUUAUGCAACGUGGCUUAUGCCCCAUCUAACAAGCUCCUUAAACAACAGUUUCCAAUUUUCAUUUACAUUGUUCUGUUAAGUGUUUUUCUCCAAAACACUUUCACUAAUCAUUUUGAUCGCCUUGGGAAAGUUAGCCCUUUCAGUGCACCAAAUAUAAAUAUUGCUGGUGGGGACUGCCCUCUAUUGGUCAUAAGAACAGCCAUACUGGAUCAGACCAAUGGUCCAGCCACCCUAGAAUCCUAUCCUCCCACAGUGGCCAAUGCCAGGUGCCCGCGAGGGAAUCGACAGAACAGGGAAUCAUCAAGCAAUCCAUCCCAUUACCCAUUCCCAGCUUUCGGCAAACAGAGGUUAGGGACACUUCAAGAACAUGGUUUUAUAUCCUUGCCCAUCCUGGCUAAUAGCCAAUGAUGGAUCUCUCCUCCAUCAACUUAUCUAGUUCUUUGGUGUUAUAGUCUUGGCCCUCACAGCAUCCUCUGGCAAAGUUUCCCUAGGUUGACUGUGUGUUGGGUGAAGAAAUACUUUCUUUGGUUUGUUUUAAACCAGCUGUCUAUUCAUUUCAUCGGGUGACCGCUAGUUCUUGU